Molecule: ribosomal RNA, 480 nt
Filed under: Fusarium delphinoides
Lineage: Eukaryota; Fungi; Ascomycota; Sordariomycetes; Hypocreales; Nectriaceae
Description: eukaryotic LSU rRNA
Rfam family: Eukaryotic large subunit ribosomal RNA
Source: RNAcentral
CAACAGGGAUUGCCCUAGUAACGGCGAGUGAAGCGGCAACAGCUCAAAUUUGAAAUCUGGCUCUCGGGCCCGAGUUGUAAUUUGUAGAGGAUGCUUUUGGCAAGGUGCCUUCCGAGUUCCCUGGAACGGGACGCCAUAGAGGGUGAGAGCCCCGUCUGGUUGGACACCGAGCCUCUGUAAAGCUCCUUCGACGAGUCGAGUAGUUUGGGAAUGCUGCUCUAAAUGGGAGGUAUAUGUCUUCUAAAGCUAAAUACUGGCCAGAGACCGAUAGCGCACAAGUAGAGUGAUCGAAAGAUGAAAAGCACUUUGAAAAGAGAGUUAAAAAGCACGUGAAAUUGUUGAAAGGGAAGCGCUUAUGACCAGACUUGGGCUUGGUUGAUCAUCCGGCGUUCUCGCCGGUGCACUCUUCCAGUUCAGGCCAGCAUCAGUUUGCCCCGGGGGAUAAAAGCUUCGGGAAUGUGGCUCCUCCGGGAGUGUUAU